GACGAACGCUGGCGGCGUGCUUAACACAUGCAAGUCGAACGGAAAGGCCCUGCUUUUGUGGGGUGCUCGAGUGGCGAACGGGUGAGUAACACGUGAGUAACCUGCCCCUGACUUUGGGAUAACCUCAUGAAACUGGGGCUAAUCCCGGAUAGGAGUUCCUGCCGCAUGGUGGGGGCUGGAAAGUUUCGGCGGUUGGUGAUGGACUCGCGUCUUAUCAGCUCGUUGGAGGGGUAGUGGCUUACCAUGGCUUUGACAGGUAGCCGGCCUGGGAGGGUGACCGGCCACGUUGGAACGGGGAUACGGCACAGACUCCAACGGUACGCAGGAGUGGGGAAGAUUGCACAGUAGGCGGAGGCCAGGUCCAGUAACGCCACGUGCGGGGUGACGGCCUUGGGUUUGUGUUCCACAGUCGCCUGUGACGAGGCGAGAGUGACGGUAAUGGGUGAAGAAGCACCGGCUAACUACGUG
This 468-nucleotide ribosomal RNA is filed under the name uncultured bacterium. RNAcentral describes it as "partial 16S ribosomal RNA". It matches the Rfam family "Bacterial small subunit ribosomal RNA", at positions 28 to 507 of the family's 1533-position model. The record is from RNAcentral.